This 99-nucleotide transfer RNA is filed under the name Labrenzia sp. EL_142. Its description in RNAcentral is "tRNA-OTHER". The record is from RNAcentral. Lineage: Bacteria; Pseudomonadati; Pseudomonadota; Alphaproteobacteria; Hyphomicrobiales; Stappiaceae.
GUAGUGAAAGGUCAGUUGCCCCGAAUCUCGUUCGCCUUCUGCUAUUCAGUCUGGUUUGGGACCAGAGGGUCGCAAGUUCGAAUCUUGCUGCCCCGACCA